Molecule: small nuclear RNA, 66 nt
Organism: Cricetulus griseus (Chinese hamster)
Lineage: Eukaryota; Metazoa; Chordata; Mammalia; Rodentia; Cricetidae
Source: Ensembl
UUACUUAGGCAAUACAUUUACUAAUAUUGGAAUGACAUAGAGAAGAUUAGCAUAGCCCCUGUGCAA